This 629-nucleotide small RNA is filed under the name Pongo abelii (Sumatran orangutan). Its description in RNAcentral is "processed transcript". The record is from RNAcentral. Lineage: Eukaryota; Metazoa; Chordata; Mammalia; Primates; Hominidae.
UUUGAGAUGGAGUCUCGCUCUGUCGCCAGGCUGGAGUGUGCGGCGCAAUCUCAGCUCACUGCAACCUCUGACUCCCUGGUUCGAGUGAUUCUUCUGCCUCAGCCUCCCAAGUAGCUGGGAUUACAGGUCAGGAAUAAAUUAGAUGGUCAGUAUUAUGCAAUAAAAAAAAUCCUGAUUAAGGGUGCAACUAAAACAGUUUGCAUGAAGGUCCUACGGGAAGUGAAGGUGCUGGCGGGUCUUCAGCACCCUAAUAUUGUUGGCUAUCACACUGCGUGGAUAGAACAUGUUCACGUGAUUCAGCCACGAGCAGACAGAGCUGCCAUUGAGUUGCCAUCUCUGGAAGUGCUCUCCGACCAGGAAGAUGACAGAGACCAAUAUGGUGUUAAAAAUGAUGAAAGUAGCAGCUCAUCCAUUAUCUUUGCUGAGCCCACCCCAGAAAAAGAAAAAUGCUUUGGAGAAUCUGACACCGAAAAUCAGAAUAACAAAUCGGUGAAGUACACCACCAAUUUAGUCAUAAGAGACUCUGGUGAACUUGAGUCGACCCUGGAGCUCCAGGAAAAUGGCUUGGCUGGUUUGUCUACCAGUUCAAUUGUGGAACAGCAGCUGCCACUCAGGCGUAAUUCUCACCU